RNAcentral lists this ribosomal RNA (583 nucleotides) under Kluyveromyces marxianus. Its description in RNAcentral is "eukaryotic LSU rRNA". It matches the Rfam family "Eukaryotic large subunit ribosomal RNA", at positions 40 to 665 of the family's 3401-position model. The record is from RNAcentral. Lineage: Eukaryota; Fungi; Ascomycota; Saccharomycetes; Saccharomycetales; Saccharomycetaceae.
AUAUCAAAAGCGGAGGAAAAGAAACCAACCGGGAUUGCCUUAGUAACGGCGAGUGAAGCGGCAAAAGCUCAAAUUUGAAAUCUGGCGUCUUCGACGUCCGAGUUGUAAUUUGAAGAAGGCGACUUUGUAGCUGGUCCUUGUCUAUGUUCCUUGGAACAGGACGUCAUAGAGGGUGAGAAUCCCGUGUGGCGAGGAUCCCAGUUAUUUGUAAAGUGCUUUCGACGAGUCGAGUUGUUUGGGAAUGCAGCUCUAAGUGGGUGGUAAAUUCCAUCUAAAGCUAAAUAUUGGCGAGAGACCGAUAGCGAACAAGUACAGUGAUGGAAAGAUGAAAAGAACUUUGAAAAGAGAGUGAAAAAGUACGUGAAAUUGUUGAAAGGGAAGGGCAUUUGAUCAGACAUGGCGUUUGCUUCGGCUUUCGCUGGGCCAGCAUCAGUUUUAGCGGUUGGAUAAAUCCUCGGGAAUGUGGCUCUGCUUCGGUAGAGUGUUAUAGCCCGUGGGAAUACAGCCAGCUGGGACUGAGGAUUGCGACUUUUGUCAAGGAUGCUGGCGUAAUGGUUAAAUGCCGCCCGUCUUGAAACACGGA